This 490-nucleotide ribosomal RNA is filed under the name uncultured Gammaproteobacteria bacterium. Its description in RNAcentral is "bacterial SSU rRNA". It matches the Rfam family "Bacterial small subunit ribosomal RNA", at positions 30 to 522 of the family's 1533-position model. The record is from RNAcentral. Lineage: Bacteria; Pseudomonadati; Pseudomonadota; Gammaproteobacteria.
AUUGAACGCUGGCGGCAGGCCUAACACAUGCAAGUCGAGCGGUAACAUGGGAGCUUGCUCCUGAUGACAAGCGGCGGACGGGUGAGUAAAGCCUAGGAAUCUGCCUAUUAGUGGGGGACAACGCGGGGAAACUCGCGCUAAUACCGCAUACGCCCUACGGGGAAAGGUGCUUAACUGUAUCGCUAAUAGAUGAGCCUAGGUCGGAUUAGCUAGUUGGUAGGGUAAAGGCCUACCAAGGCGACGAUCCGUAGCUGGUCUGAGAGGAUGAUCAGCCACACUGGGACUGAGACACGGCCCAGACUCCUACGGGAGGCAGCAGUGGGGGAAUAUUGGACAAUGGGGGAAACCCUGAUCCAGCCAUGCCGCGUGUGUGAAGAAGGUCUUCGGAUUGUAAAGCACUUUAAGUUGGGAAAAAGGGUAGUGUAACGAACUAUUCUUGAUAUUACCGACAGAAUAAGCACCGGCUAACUUCGUGCCAGCAGCCGCCGCA